CUACACNUGNNAGUCGAGCGGCAGCGCGAGUAGUUUACUACUUGGCGGCGAGCGGCGGACGGCUGAGUAACGCGUGGGAACGUACCCCAAAGUGAGGAAUAACCGCUCGAAAGGGUGGCUAAUGCCGCAUAUGGUCUUCGGAUUAAAGGAUUUAUCCGCUUUGGGAACGGCCUGCGUACGAUUAGAUAGUUGGUGAGGUAAAGGCUCACCAAGUCUACGAUCGUUAACUGGUCUGAGAGGAUGAUCAGUCAGACUGGAACUGAGACACGGUCCAGACUCCUACGGGAGGCAGCAGUGAGGAAUCUUCCACAAUGGGCGAAAGCCUGAUGGAGCAACGCCGCGUGCAGGAUGAAGGCCUUCGGGUCGUAAACUGCUUUUAUAAGUGAAGAAUAUGACGGUAACUUAUGAAUAAGCACCGGCUAACUACGUGCCAGCAGCCGCGGUAA
RNAcentral lists this ribosomal RNA (446 nucleotides) under uncultured Campylobacterota bacterium. RNAcentral's name for it is "bacterial SSU rRNA". It matches the Rfam family "Bacterial small subunit ribosomal RNA", at positions 49 to 523 of the family's 1533-position model. Lineage: Bacteria; Pseudomonadati; Campylobacterota. The record is from RNAcentral.